AUGAGCCACUUCAGGCCUAUCAGCCUCAUACACUCCGUGUCAAAGCUGAUAGCUAAGGUUCUAUCUAUGCGGCUGGCCCCAAAACUCAAGGACCUCAUCUCACCGACGCAAUCUGCUUUCCAAAAGGGCAAGUGCAUCCAUGAUAGCUAUCAGUAUGUGCAGGGCUGUGUUAGAGCGCUUCACAGGGACAGGAAAUCGGCCCUUCUUUUCAAAUUGGACAUUGCCAAGGCCUUCGAUUCAGUGUCGUGGGAAUACCUACUGGAACUGCUUCAGAGAAUGGGUUUUUUAGCCCACGAUGGAGGGACUUGA
This 309-nucleotide ribosomal RNA is filed under the name Triticum aestivum (bread wheat). RNAcentral describes it as "partial small subunit ribosomal RNA". The record is from RNAcentral. Lineage: Eukaryota; Viridiplantae; Streptophyta; Magnoliopsida; Poales; Poaceae.